Molecule: long non-coding RNA, 759 nt
Organism: Physella acuta
Lineage: Eukaryota; Metazoa; Mollusca; Gastropoda; Physidae
Source: RefSeq, a predicted model, not a curated record
GCAUCGUAAUUUCUAAGGGCAACCAUUUUGGAAAUGGCGCUGACUUCCCUUUUCGCUUUUUGUCCCAGGCUUCCGUCACCGCCGCGCGUGAGUCUAAAAAUAGACUAACGGCUUGUUCCAACCGGCAUUUCGUUGACGCUCUCUGCCUUUCGGGUUUACUUGACAUAUUGGAAAAUUUUUUGGCGGACGAUAUUUAUUAAUUUAGUUUUUCUUUCUUCGGAAUAUUGCUGUCAAAAAUAGAGUCUGUGGUCUUGCAGCUCUUUGAUAGAAAUCUGAGUGAGAAAUCAUUCAGCCAUCGGAAUCACGAAGUUCGAAUGAGGAGAUGGAGAUGGCUGGGCCAUGUCCUACGCAUGAGCAAAAUAUGACUCCCCCAACAUGGCACUGGAAAAUGAAAGAGGGGAAGACCACUGGGAACAUGGAGGAGAGAGAUGGAAGAAGAAGUGCAAGCUGCUGGCAAGACUUGACAUGAACUAAACUGGCUCGCCCAGGACAGAGUGGAAUGGCAGGAAUUUGUUGCUGCCCUAUACUCCACAGGGAGUGAUGAGGAUUAAAGAAAGCAGACACAGAUCCAGUGUUGGAAGAGGAAGUAUUUUAUAUAAAAGAAAAAAAAACAACAGAUGUCAAAGCAGGUAUUGGCUGGUGCAGAAACAGCAUGAAAGGAUUUUUGUAUCUUUCCUGGACUGAUGACUUUCAUUCAACCUGAUCAUUUUUUAAUUUGCAUCAACUAAAACAUGUUAUAUAAAUCACUUUGUUGUACUC